Molecule: ribosomal RNA, 393 nt
Filed under: uncultured bacterium
Lineage: Bacteria
Description: bacterial SSU rRNA
Rfam family: Bacterial small subunit ribosomal RNA
Source: RNAcentral
GACGAACGCUGGCGGCGUGCUUAACACAUGCAAGUCGAGCGGUAAGGCCCUUUCGGGGGUACACGAGCGGCGAACGGGUGAGUAACACGUGGGUGACCUGCCCUCAGCUCUGGGAUAAGCCUGGGAAACCGGGUCUAAUACUGGAUAUGACUCCAUGACGCAUGUUGUGGGGUGGAAAGCCUUGUGCGGCUGAGGAUGGGCCCGCGGCCUAUCAGCUUGUUGGUGGGGUGAUGGCCUACCAAGGCGACGACGGGUAGCCGGCCUGAGAGGGCGACCGGCCACACUGGGACUGAGACACGGCCCAGACUCCUUACGGGAGGGCAGCAGUGGGGAAUCUUGCGCAAUGGGCGAAAGCCUGACGCAGCGACGCCGCGUGAGGGAUGACGGCCUGGU